UAUGAUGAUGAUGAACAAAGAGCUUGAUGC
RNAcentral lists this non-coding RNA (30 nucleotides) under Mus musculus (house mouse). Lineage: Eukaryota; Metazoa; Chordata; Mammalia; Rodentia; Muridae. The record is from RNAcentral.